Molecule: long non-coding RNA, 1403 nt
Organism: Mustela erminea (ermine)
Lineage: Eukaryota; Metazoa; Chordata; Mammalia; Carnivora; Mustelidae
Exons: 3
Source: RefSeq, a predicted model, not a curated record
GGGUCCCUCCCUGUCUCAUCUUAUGCAGGCCCUGGUCGGGGAGCCUGGGGCUCUGCCCUAUGUAAGGGGUGGGCUGCAGGAGAGGCUCAUGGAUGGAGGAAAGGGGCACAAGGAAUAUUCUGGAGGCCCAAGACAUCAACUCCCGAAUCUGGAGGCAACAGGUCUGGCAAGGCAGGGACUCGAAAGUGUCCAUUAGAGCAAUUAGGAGAUCACGAGUGCCCUUAGCGGAGCUGGUUUCAAGCAGAGGCUGGGAUUCUUUGAACCCAUAAUAGAAAGUCAGUGUGUUUACUCAUUGGUUGUAUCCUAGCAACAGCGUGUUCUCAACCGGGCUAAGUGUUCUAGAAAGCAAGACCAAAUUAUACAAGAACACAGCGUUCUAGAAUGUCUGCAUGGGCUUGUCAGCCAAUUUCCUCCUUAGAGGGACGCAGGAGAUGGGUAAAAACUACCCUCCUUCCCUCCGAAUUUCCAGGUAGUCCGCGACCGGCAUUUAGUACACGAAUAGUACACGGUCCCGUGGUUGAGUGCAGGACAGAACCUAGUACACAGAUUCCUUGGAGGAAAUGCAAUGAACCGAAGAGAAACCAGCGUGAGGGGCACCUAACCCAGCACCGAGCAAUCUGCAGAGACUUCCUGGAGGAGGCAACACCUGAGCGGGGUCUCAUCAACGCGAGGAAGAGUCAGCCUGGUGGAACGUGUGGAAGGAUGCUUUGAGCUUUGAGGCAGCCUCUGUGAAACCCGCAGGCGUGGGCUUGCCUGGCAAUGCUGGGGCCCAGAGACCUUUCGGUUUGCUUGUUUUACGGAAAUAAAACAAGGCAGAUGAAACUGAAGACUUUUCUACUUCAUCUCUCCUUGGAGGAAGCCGCCGUUGUGAGUUUGAGAGGCCGCCAUGGACGAUUUCCUGAUUUGUAGGGUCUGCUUCCUUGAGCAAUGUGCAAUAUCAUGGAGUGUGUCUAGAAAUUUUACGUGUAAUUCGUUGACCGUGUUUGCAACUUGCUUUUCCCUCAAACCUUCCAUAUCUUUGAGGUCUGUGGAUGCAGUUGCAUAUAGGAGCAGUUGGUUUAUUUUACCUGCUGUCAACGUGUUAGCUGAUGUUUCUCUAUUUUUGGUCCUAGGAAUCUCUGUCCUGAUUUCAUAACCGAGUACAUGCCCAUUAGCUUUCCCUCAGGCAUUAUCUUUCUACUUUACCUGUGUUUUUCUUUGCUCCGAUUUCAAAGAAAAAUAGAUUUUCAACAUUAGAACAGUUCUAAGCUCAUAGCAAAGUUGAGGGGAUGGUACAGAGAUUUUUCAGACACACCCCCGUGCCCACACGUGCACACCCUCCCCCUUAUCAACACCCCCCCGACCAGAGGGGACAUUUGACACAAUCGAGGAAUCUGUGUUGACAUACCGUCCUCAUCCAAUGU